Tulasnella sp. JGI-2019a is the source of this 101-nucleotide non-coding RNA. The record is from the annotation of a GenBank genome assembly. NCBI's taxonomy places the organism in Eukaryota, Fungi, Basidiomycota, Agaricomycetes, Cantharellales, Tulasnellaceae.
GUCUGCUUAGCGCAGUCGGUUAGCGCGUCAGUCUCAUAGUAGUAUGAGUUCCUCACUGGGACGCAAUCUGAAGGUCGUGAGUUCGAUUCUCACAGCGGACA